This 492-nucleotide ribosomal RNA is filed under the name uncultured bacterium. RNAcentral describes it as "partial 16S ribosomal RNA". It matches the Rfam family "Bacterial small subunit ribosomal RNA", at positions 29 to 507 of the family's 1533-position model. The record is from RNAcentral.
AGUGAACGCUGGCGGUAGGCCUAACACAUGCAAGUCGAACGGCAGCACAGUAAGAGCUUGCUCUUACGGGUGGCGAGUGGCGGACGGGUGAGGAAUACAUCGGAAUCUACUUUUUCGUGGGGGAUAACGUAGGGAAACUUACGCUAAUACCGCAUACGACCUACGGGUGAAAGCAGUGGAUCUUCGGACCUUGCGCGAUUGUAUGAGCCGAUGUCGGAUUAGCUAGUUGGCGGGGUAAAGGCCCACCAAGGCGACGAUCCGUAGCUGGUCUGAGAGGAUGAUCAGCCACACUGGAACUGAGACACGGUCCAGACUCCUACGGGAGGCAGCAGUGGGGAAUAUUGGGCAAUGGGCGCAAGCCUGAUCCAGCCAUGCCGCGUGGGUGAAGAAGGCCUUCGGGUUGUAAAGCCCUUUUGUUGGGGAAGAAAAACAGCAGGUGAAUACCCCGCUGUUCUGACGGUACCCAAAGAAUAAGCACCGGCUAACUUCGUG